UUCUAUGGGGAUUCAGGCAGGGGAGGUUUCGACCUCGCCGGAUGAGUGUCCCGGUAUUGCAAACCCUGUCUGGAUCGCCACCAUC
RNAcentral lists this non-coding RNA (85 nucleotides) under Xenorhabdus vietnamensis. RNAcentral also lists the same sequence under 1 other name. Lineage: Bacteria; Pseudomonadati; Pseudomonadota; Gammaproteobacteria; Enterobacterales; Morganellaceae. The record is from RNAcentral.